GUAAUUUUCAAUCUCGCAACACUGCCCAGACUGACGUGCGCGCAGCGGUCGUACGCCAUGUUUAUUUUUCGAACUGUGUUGAGCGAAAGGUUUUUUCAUUGUCAAUUAUAAAUUGAAGCGCAUCCACUCUGGCCGAAGAAAUCGAAAUUGUAGGUUUUCCCGUUCCUUCAACGACUCCAGCUUCAGCAAUGCGAACAACAUCUACGCCAAACCGGCGUCAGCACCAAAACCAAAUCACUGGUCAUGUCUAUCUCAGCGCUCAGGUUCGCUCCCUAUACUAUCCCACCAGCAAGGAAUCAUUAAACUCAACUUGGCUCUCGGUGUCCGUCCUCAAACUGUACGGAUUGGACCGAGCGGAACCACUUCCUCCAGGGCUACCUGCUGCAGGGAGCCGACGAAGCCUUUCGUCAUUAAAAGUUUGUUGAGAUGACCGAAGUGCUCGGCUUUAUAAUGAAUCUGGGCAUUGACAAGAAUCAUAAUAUGUUCAAGCUGGCGGAAAUAGCCGAAAAGCUGCGAAUCGAUAUCGCAGGGGAUUGAGCGAAUCGUGUUUCUGGCGAAAAUCCUGAUCCAUAUCCGGACCGUUUGCGAGCGUUCAAGAAAGAAUCGGCUUCGUAGCGCCUCCGAACGCGAAGGAAAUCCAGCAAAACAAGGGCUACCCUGAGUCUGCGGAUCGAUACUGCGGAUUCCUGAUGACUGAUCAAUGUGUAUCGUCGUUGCAUGGUAUCUACCGGCGCUUUCGUAUUUGCUUAUGUAUAAUAUCAUAUGUAGAUGUGCUGAAAAUAUAGAAUCAUAUCUUUAAUUUACGAAUCCUUCAAAAAA
Long non-coding RNA from Armigeres subalbatus, 819 nucleotides. RefSeq lists it as uncharacterized. The transcript is spliced from 3 exons. The record is from RefSeq and is a predicted model, not a curated record. Lineage: Eukaryota; Metazoa; Arthropoda; Insecta; Diptera; Culicidae.